This 444-nucleotide ribosomal RNA is filed under the name Triticum aestivum (bread wheat). Its description in RNAcentral is "partial small subunit ribosomal RNA". Lineage: Eukaryota; Viridiplantae; Streptophyta; Magnoliopsida; Poales; Poaceae. The record is from RNAcentral.
AUGGAGGCAGCAGCAUCAACAUCCUCUAUUAUGAGACCUUCCGUCGUAUGGGAUUUGAUUGAUAAGAACCUCAGCCAGUCAAACACUAUUUUCCAUGGUGUGGUACCUGGUAAGUCGGCUUAUCCAGUCGGCAAGAUCGAGUUGGAAGUGGCCUUUGGAGACGAGCACAACUACAGGGUGGAAAAAUUGACCUUUGAGGUGGUUAAGAUAAGAAGUCCGUACCAUGCCAUAUUUGGGCGGCCGGCUUACGCCAAGUCCAUGGCACGGCCGUGUUACGUGUAUUUACAGCUCAAGAUGCCGGGUCAUAAUGGGACCAUUAUAGUUCACGGCAGCCGGAAGGUGGCCUUGGAGUGUGAGGAAGGCGAUGCAGCUUAUGCAGAAUCUGUUUGCGCAACAGAGGAGUUGAAGUUUUACAAGGACAAUGCUGACCCAACAGAUAUGACC